RNAcentral lists this ribosomal RNA (429 nucleotides) under Acidobacteriota bacterium. Its description in RNAcentral is "Acidobacteria bacterium partial 16S ribosomal RNA". It matches the Rfam family "Bacterial small subunit ribosomal RNA", at positions 355 to 776 of the family's 1533-position model. Lineage: Bacteria; Pseudomonadati; Acidobacteriota. The record is from RNAcentral.
UGGGGAAUUUUGGACAAUGGGGGAAACCCUGAUCCAGCCAUCCCGCGUGUGCGAUGAAGGCCUUCGGGUUGUAAAGCACUUUUGGCAGGAAAGAAACGUCAUGGGUUAAUACCCCGUGAAACUGACGGUACCUGCAGAAUAAGCACCGGCUAACUACGUGCCAGCAGCCGCGGUAAUACGUAGGGUGCAAGCGUUAAUCGGAAUUACUAGGCGUAAAGCGUGCGCAGGCGGUUCGGAAAGAAAGAUGUGAAAUCCCAGAGCUCAACUUUGGAACUGCAUUUUUAACUACCGGGCUAGAGUGUGUCAGAGGGAGGUGGAAUUCCGCGUGUAGCAGUGAAAUGCGUAGAUAUGCGGAGGAACACCGAUGGCGAAGGCAGCCUCCUGGGAUAACACUGACGCUCAUGCACGAAAGCGUGGGGAGCAAACAGG